GACGAACGCUGGCGGCGUGCUUAACACAUGCAAGUCGAACGGUGAAGCGCCUUCCUUUUUGGUGGGUGUGGAUGAGUGGCGAACGGGUGAGUAACACGUGAGUAACCUGCCCCCUUCUUCUGGAUAACCGCAUGAAAGUGUGGCUAAUACGGGAUAUUCUGGGUCUGUCGCAUGAUGGGUCUGGGAAAGAUAUUGUUUCGGUGGGGGAUGGGCUCGCGGCCUAUCAGCUUGGUGGUGUGGUGACGGCCUACCAAGGCGGUGACGGGUAGCCGGCCUGGGAGGGUGGGCCGCCAUACAGCGGCUGCGCCGCCCCCCAGCCUACGACGGGAGGCAGCAGGGAGUAUUAUGCCACGGUCGGCGCCCUCCUGGUGCAGCGCCGCCUCGUUGGUGAUGGUCUUCUUCUCGUUGUGCUCCGCUUUCGCCAAUGAAGCUGUCUUUCCUCGUUUGUGGGUGGCUUGACGGUAGCUAGUUAGGAAGCGCCGGCUAACUACGUG
This 494-nucleotide ribosomal RNA is filed under the name uncultured bacterium. RNAcentral's name for it is "partial 16S ribosomal RNA". It matches the Rfam family "Bacterial small subunit ribosomal RNA", at positions 28 to 507 of the family's 1533-position model. The record is from RNAcentral.